CCGGCGCGCCGGGCCGGGCCGGGCCGCAGGGCUCGCCCUGGGUCGGGCCGGUGCCCGAGCGACGCCCCUUCCCCCGGGGCGGCUGCCGCGUCCUCUGCGCUUCGCCCCGUCGAGGCAGCGAAACGCCUCUAAAAGCAGCACAUCUGCUCCAAAAUCAGGCCACGAUAUGAGAAGCAAUUACAUAGGACUGGUCUAUGAGGACGUGCAUGUAGGCAAGAUGCUGUGGAGGAAGUACAGGAUCUGCAACUGUCAUACACAAAUGAACAACAAACUCCCUUACGCCUGCUGAGGUUUUACCUGUGUGUGGAGUGGAGUACUGCACCGAAGUGAUCAGAAACACAGACAGAUGCAAGAGAUGAUCGACAGACCUAGGAUUUGUCCAGUGUGUGUCAGCAGGAGUAAUGACAGGGAAACCAGCCUGUGCUGUCAGUUUGGGGAGUCGUCCGAGAUUCAAGACAACUAGAAUGAGACCAAGGUAUCCCCAAAAUAGUUCUUGACAUUAAUUUGGAAACAGUUUAGGGAAGUAUGCUUUAUGACAUUUAUUUGUUUCAAUAAGUACAGCUUGUAGCAAAUUACAGGUAUUUCCAUGGAUUGAGUAUAGAUACAUAUAGCACAAAGUUAUGACUCAAAAGUGAAGUCCAAAGGGAAGUAUAGCAGAACAAGCUAGGCGUUACCCCCAAUGAAUGUCAAACAUUGCAACUAUGUAGGAGUGGCUAGCCUGUAGCUCAUUUUUAUCUGCUGGUUUUUUUUUAAAAAAGCUUUUUUCAGAUGAAGUAUAUUCUCUUAAGUGUGAAGUGAAUUAUGCAAUUACAGCAAAAUGUAUGUACUAGAAAUUUCAGAUCUUUAUAGAUGUGGAGGAACUCUGCUGGAUGCAAAACAUAUUCAUGAAAAUGAUACUAACAUUUGCCUCUGAUUUUCAAGGUGUAAGCUUAGAUUAAUUUAUAGCUAGAAACUUCAGAUAAGGAAGACUCUUCAGAGCUCCAUGUGUGGUAAGCCAGAACAAACACUGUGUGUUUAGAAAUAAAUUUGGAAGCCUUUGUACACUAGAAAGUCUCAAAAUCAACAGAAAAUCACAUCAAUACAAAUACAUGCCUUUUAAGCACAGUUUAAAUUUUUAACACGCAGAAUUUAGCAGAGUAUAUUUGUUUGUGUGUCAAUGCUUUAUCGUGCAAAACAUAAAAUCCUUGUGAGAGACUGCAACUUUCAGGUACUUCUUGGUCAUUUCCUCUCUUGGUCUCCAUUUGCCAUAGAAACAAUGAUUUCCUUAAUAGUAGCAGUAUUCCUUUCAGUGCCAUAUAGCACUAAUUGCUAAUUGUCACAGUGGACAGUGUUCCAUAAAUUUAGAGUUCAACACUUGCAGCUUUGGGGGGAAUGGACUGACCUUUUUUUUUCACUAAGCCAGAGUUUUGCCAGCUUUAUAAUAAACAAUACUUACCUGCA
Molecule: long non-coding RNA, 1440 nt
Organism: Rhea pennata
Lineage: Eukaryota; Metazoa; Chordata; Aves; Rheiformes; Rheidae
Exons: 4
Source: RefSeq, a predicted model, not a curated record